This 253-nucleotide ribosomal RNA is filed under the name uncultured bacterium. RNAcentral's name for it is "partial 16S ribosomal RNA". It matches the Rfam family "Bacterial small subunit ribosomal RNA", at positions 524 to 776 of the family's 1533-position model. The record is from RNAcentral.
UACGUAGGGUGCAAGCGUUAAUCGGAAUUACUGGGCGUAAAGCGUGCGCAGGCGGUUAUGUAAGACAGAUGUGAAAUGCCCGGGCUUAACCUGGGAACUGCAUUUGUGACUGCAUGGCUAGAGUUUGGCAGAGGGGGGUAGAAUUCCACGUGUAGCAGUGAAAUGCGUAGAUAUGUGGAGGAACACCGAUGGCGAAGGCAGCCCCCUGGGCCAAUACUGACGCUCAUGCACGAAAGCGUGGGGAGCAAACAGG